GUGUGUGUGCUUGCGUGCGUGCGUGUGUGCAUGCGUGUGUGUGUGCGUGCGUGCGUGUGUGUGUGUGUGUGUGUGUGUGUGUGUGUGUGUGUGUGUGUGUGUGUAUGUGUGUACAGGUACAUUUCUGCAGAAGCCAGAGUUCUUGGAUGUCUCAGUGCUGGAUUUACACCUAGUGAGAGCCUUCCCGCAUGGGUGUUGGGAACCAAAUUUGGUUCUUCUCCAAAAGUACCCCAUGUUCUUCACUGGUAAGCCUUCUCUCCAGCCCCUUAAUGGAUAAUUUCGACCUGAAAACAAUGUACUUGAUACCCUUGAGUGCUUUAGCAAUAUAUGACUUAAAUUUAAAUUAUUUGAUCUCUCUCAUUUUUCUAACCUGUAAGAUAAGGAUAUUUGUUCUAGGAGUGUACCCCGUGGAGUGUCCUAUCAAGCUGCCUCGUGCCUGCAGCUGAUCUCACCUACACCGAAUUGCCACUCGCUCUCUGGUGACUUAUCUCCAGAUAAGUCAUCAUAACUACAAAAAGCUAAAUGACUUUACUUAAGGAAAAGAAGUAGAUGCUUCCGGAGAGACAGCAUAUUUUUCGUAUCUUAAAAUGGAUUCAUCUUCCAGCCAGACUUCAAACGGGAAUUUUUAUGGAAUCAAAUAAUAAUGAGAAGUCUUGUAAUUUCUAUCAUCAUCAACUGUCAUCAUCAUAGUCAACCACCAUCAUUGUCGUCAUCCUCAUUGUCGUCGUUGUCGUCGUCGUCGUCGUCGUCGUCAUCAUCAUCAUCAUCAUCAUCAUCAUUGUGUUUAUGUAUACAUGAAUGUUUAUGCCAGAGUUGGCCAGAGCAGUGACUUGGAUGCCUUGGAGUAAAGUUACAGGAGGUUGUGAGCAUCCAAUUUGGAUUCUGGGAAUGAAACCCCAGUUUAUUGAAAGAGGAGCAAAUCUUAAUCCUGUAAAUAUUAAUUUUAAUUACUUUAAUUACACACACACACACACACACACACACACACACACACACACACACAUAUAUUGAAAGUGCAGAUUCUAAGUGAAAAUCAAACACUUUAAGUUUGACUGGUAUCUGGGUAGGGUGACUCACACUGAUUCUAAACUUUCUUAAAAUAACUCAAUGAAACUUGGAGAAUUCAAUCCAAUUCAUGCUUAUUUCAAUUUAUGCAUGGACUAGAUUAAGGAUUCAAAUCAAUUAAUAAUUAACUCUAUAUUGUGUUGCUAAAAUGUGUGGAGAUAUAAGCUUCAUAGACAUUUUCAAAUACAUAGAAAAAGAAAUGUAAAGAGAGAAAGAGGGAGAAACGUAUUUUAUCUCAAAUGUACAUUUAACUGAAUAAGGCUUAAUGAAUUCUUAGCACCUAAGUAUUAAGUACUUAAGUCUAAUUAAAUUUAAAAUACUGAAAACUUUUAUGCAAAUUUUAAAAGAGUUUUCAUUUGAAUGUUUUUGUUCUUUGUACUCAUUUAAGUGAAAUUCACAGAAACUUAUUUCUCAUUAAAUAUUAUUUUAACUAAGUAUACCAAACAGUCUAUAAAAUGUUUUGAGCCGCUACUCAAUGUUCUAAAAUAAUUUUUGUGAAAUAUUUUAAUACUUUCAAUGGAAACCAACAGUCAUGAGAAGAGUGCAUAGGGAUCUGUAAGCGGACAGUCUUUCAUUAUUUGAAUUGAUGUAAGUUACAGAUUACAUGAAAUUAAAGUGAUGAAAAUUA
Rattus norvegicus (Norway rat) is the source of this 1693-nucleotide long non-coding RNA. RefSeq lists it as uncharacterized. The record is from RefSeq and is a predicted model, not a curated record. Lineage: Eukaryota; Metazoa; Chordata; Mammalia; Rodentia; Muridae.